This 371-nucleotide ribosomal RNA is filed under the name uncultured organism. RNAcentral describes it as "bacterial SSU rRNA". It matches the Rfam family "Bacterial small subunit ribosomal RNA", at positions 526 to 896 of the family's 1533-position model. The record is from RNAcentral.
CGGAGGGUGCUAGCGUUGUUCGGAAUUACUGGGCGUAAAGCGCGCGUAGGCGGCUUUGUAAGUUAGAGGUGAAAGCCCGGGGCUCAACUCCGGAACUGCCUUUAAAACUGCAUCGCUUGAAUCCGGGAGAGGUGAGCGGAAUUCCGAGUGUAGAGGUGAAAUUCGUAGAUAUUCGGAAGAACACCAGUGGCGAAGGCGGCUCACUGGACCGGUAUUGACGCUGAGGUGCGAAAGCGUGGGGAGCAAACAGGAUUAGGUACCCUGGUAGUCCACGCCGUAAACGAUGAUAACUAGCUGUCAGGGGCCAUGGGCUUUUGGUGGCGCAGCUAACGCAUUAAGUUAUCCGCCUGGGGAGUACGGCCGCAAGGUUA